GAUCUUAUAUAUAUUAUUUUGUAGGGUAACCAAAGAAUCUAGGAGAUAUAACUUCUAUCAUGCUAAAGAACAAGAGUUGUUCGGCAUUCCUUUCAGAAAAGGACUAUCUUGGUGAAGGUACUGAUGCCUUAAAUAUGAAACUUAUGAAGUUCGACAGGUAAAAAAAUUGACAUAAUCUAGUGAACUCGUAGAACUGGAUUUGAUUAGAUCAAACCCAGAACCCGUUGUAGAGGCACCAUAAAG
This 243-nucleotide long non-coding RNA is filed under the name Elaeis guineensis (African oil palm). RNAcentral describes it as "long non-coding RNA (EGUI_LNC053333)". Lineage: Eukaryota; Viridiplantae; Streptophyta; Magnoliopsida; Arecales; Arecaceae. The record is from RNAcentral.